CCUACGGGAGGCAGCAGUGGGGAAUAUUGGACAAUGGGCGCAAGCCUGAUCCAGCCAUGCCGCGUGUGUGAAGAAGGCCUUCGGGUUGUAAAGCACUUUCAGUAGGGAGGAAGCGUUGAGUGUUAAUAGUACUCAGCGUGACGUACCUACAGAGAGCCCAAUU
Molecule: ribosomal RNA, 163 nt
Filed under: uncultured freshwater bacterium
Lineage: Bacteria
Description: partial 16S ribosomal RNA
Rfam family: Bacterial small subunit ribosomal RNA
Source: RNAcentral